GAUGAACGCUGGCGGCGUGCCUAAUACAUGCAAGUCGAGCGAACGGACGAGAAGCUUGCUUCUCUGAUGUUAGCGGCGGACGGGUGAGUAACACGUGGAUAACCUACCUAUAAGACUGGGAUAACUUCGGGAAACCGGAGCUAAUACCGGAUAAUAUUUUGAACCGCAUGGUUCAAAAGUGAAAGACGGUCUUGCUGUCACUUAUAGAUGGAUCCGCGCUGCAUUAGCUAGUUGGUAAGGUAACGGCUUACCAAGGCAACGAUGCAUAGCCGACCUGAGAGGGUGAUCGGCCACACUGGAACUGAGACACGGUCCAGACUCCUACGGGAGGCAGCAGUAGGGAAUCUUCCGCAAUAGGCGAAAGCCUGACGGAGCAACGCCGCGUGAGUGAUGAAGGUCUUCGGAUCGUAAAACUCUGUUAUUAGGGAAGAACAUAUGUGUAAGUAACUGUGCACAUCUUGACGGUACCUAAUCAGAAAGCCACGGCUAACUACGUGCCAGCAGCCGCGGUAAUACGUAGGUGGCAAGCGUUAUCCGGAAUUAUUGGGCGUAAAGCGCGCGUAGGCGGUUUUUUAAGUCUGAUGUGAAAGCCCACGGCUCAACCGUGGAGGGUCAUUGGAAACUGGAAAACUUGAGUGCAGAAGAGGAAAGUGGAAUUCCAUGUGUAGCGGUGAAAUGCGCAGAGAUAUGGAGGAAUACCAGUGGCGAAGGCGACUUUCUGGUCUGCAACUGACGCUGAUGUGCGAAAGCGUGGGGAUCAAACAGGAUUAGAUACCCUGGUAGUCCACGCCGUAAACGAUGAGUGCUAAGUGUUAGGGGGUUUCCGCCCCUUAGUGCUGCAGCUAACGCAUUAAGCACUCCGCCUGGGGAGUACGACCGCAAGGUUGAAACUCAAAGGAAUUGACGGGGACCCGCACAAGCGGUGGAGCAUGUGGUUUAAUUCGAAGCAACGCGAAGAACCUUACCAAAUCUUGACAUCCUUUGACAACUCUAGAGAUAGAGCCUUCCCCUUCGGGGGACAAAGUGACAGGUGGUGCAUGGUUGUCGUCAGCUCGUGUCGUGAGAUGUUGGGUUAAGUCCCGCAACGAGCGCAACCCUUAAGCUUAGUUGCCAUCAUUAAGUUGGGCACUCUAAGUUGACUGCCGGUGACAAACCGGAGGAAGGUGGGGAUGACGUCAAAUCAUCAUGCCCCUUAUGAUUUGGGCUACACACGUGCUACAAUGGACAAUACAAAGGGCAGCGAAACCGCGAGGUCAAGCAAAUCCCAUAAAGUUGUUCUCAGUUCGGAUUGUAGUCUGCAACUCGACUACAUGAAGCUGGAAUCGCUAGUAAUCGUAGAUCAGCAUGCUAUGGUGAAUACGUUCCCGGGUCU
RNAcentral lists this ribosomal RNA (1372 nucleotides) under uncultured bacterium. RNAcentral's name for it is "bacterial SSU rRNA". It matches the Rfam family "Bacterial small subunit ribosomal RNA", at positions 28 to 1381 of the family's 1533-position model. The record is from RNAcentral.